UCCAACGUGACCUACCUCUCUCUUUUUUUUUUUUUUUACAGCAUCUUUCCUUUCCUAAUAUUUCAGAUAUGUCUUCCAGCCGAACAGGUUCAACUCAUCCAAUCGAAAUUUCAACUGCUUCCACUGAAACAACAAUACAGAUCCAAGAUGAUUACGAUGAAUUUAAAAAGGCGGAAGAGAUAUUCAUUGCGCUAGACCUUCCUAAAUAUACUAGAUUUUACUGGACAUACAUAAGUACACUUAAGGAGCAAGCAUUAUGGCGUAAGUAUUUCAUUGACAUAGCUGAAAGCACCGAUGAAAAUAAGCUACAACUGCUAGAAACUAUAACUGGUGUUUUACGGAAUAACGAAUAUAUGCGAGAACAAUUAGGUUCAAACCAAUAAUAGUAUUUUUUUA
Arabidopsis lyrata subsp. lyrata is the source of this 396-nucleotide long non-coding RNA. RefSeq lists it as uncharacterized. The transcript is spliced from 2 exons. The record is from RefSeq and is a predicted model, not a curated record. NCBI's taxonomy places the organism in Eukaryota, Viridiplantae, Streptophyta, Magnoliopsida, Brassicales, Brassicaceae.